Molecule: ribosomal RNA, 1305 nt
Filed under: metagenome
Description: bacterial SSU rRNA
Rfam family: Bacterial small subunit ribosomal RNA
Source: RNAcentral
CGUGGCUAAUACUCCAUAUGGCCGACCAUUCAUUUGGUCGAUUAAAGCUUUUGCGCUUUGGGAGGGGCUUGCGGCCCAUCAGCUAGUUGGUAGGGUAAUGGCCUACCAAGGCUAUGACGGGUAGCUGGUCUGAGAGGAUGAUCAGCCACAAUGGCACUGAAACACGGGCCAUACUCCUACGGGAGGCAGCAGUGAGGAAUAUUGGACAAUCGACGAAAGUUGGAUCCAGCAACGCCGCGUGGAUGAUGAAGGCCUUCGGGUUGUAAAAUCCUUUUAAGAGGGAAGAGGAAGGACGGUACCUCUUGAACAAGUCUCGGCUAACUACGUGCCAGCAGCCGCGGUAACACGUAGGAGGCUAGCGUUAUCCGGAUUUAUUGGGCGUAAAGCGCGCGCAGGCGGCUAGGUAAGUCGGAUGUGAAAGCCCCGGACUCAAUCCGGGGAGGUCAUUCGAUACUGCUUGGCUUGAGAGCGGGAGAGGGAAGCAGAAUUCUGGGUGUAGUGGUGAAAUGCGUAGAUAUCCAGAGGAAUACCAGUGGCGAAGGCGGCUUCCUGGCCCGUUUCUGACGCUGAGGUGCGAAAGCGUGGGUAGCGAACGGAAUUAGAAACUCCGGUAGUCCACGCCGUAAACGAUGGGUACUAGGUGUAGGGAGUAUUAACCCUCUCUGUGCCGCAGCAAACGCGUUAAGUACCCCGCCUGCAGACUACGGCCGCAAGGCUAAAACGCAAAGGAAUUGACGGGGGCCCGCACAAGCAGCGGAGCGUGUGGUUCAAUUCGAAAAUACACGAAGAACCUUACCUAGGCUUGACAUGAUAGUAGUAGUGAAGCGAAAGCAGAACGAUCCUUCGGGAAGCUAACACAGGUGCUGCAUGGCUGUCGUCAGCUCGUGCCGUGAGGUGUUGGGUUAAGUCCUGUAACGAGCGCAACCCUUACUGCCAGUUACAAGUGUCUGGCGGAACUGCCGGUAUAAACCGGAGGAAGGUGAGGAUGACGUCAAGUCAGCAUGGCCUUUAUGUCUAGGGCUACACACACGCUACAAUGGCCGGCACAAUGGGUCGCCAAGCCGCGAGGCGGAGCUAAUCCUUAAAGUCGGUCUCAGUUCGGAUUGUAGGCUGCAACCCGCCUGCAUGAAGUUGGAGUUGCUAGUAACCGCGCGUCAGCAAUAGUGCGGUGAAUACGUUCCCGGGCCUUGUACACACCGCCCGUCACGUCAUGGGAGUCGGUAACACCUGAAGUCGGUGAGCUAACCUAACGGAGGCAGCUGUCGAAGGUGGGAUUGGCAACUGGGACGAAGUCGGAACAAGGUA